RNAcentral lists this ribosomal RNA (429 nucleotides) under Priestia flexa. RNAcentral describes it as "bacterial SSU rRNA". It matches the Rfam family "Bacterial small subunit ribosomal RNA", at positions 34 to 452 of the family's 1533-position model. The record is from RNAcentral. Lineage: Bacteria; Bacillati; Bacillota; Bacilli; Caryophanales; Bacillaceae.
CGCUGGCGGCGUGCCUAUUACAUGCAGUCGAGCGAACUGAUUAGAAGCUUGCUUCUAUGACGUUAGCGGCGGACGGGUGAGUAACACGUGGGCAACCUGCCUGUAAGACUGGGAUAACUCCGGGAAACCGGAGCUAAUACCGGAUAACAUUUUUUCUUGCAUAAGAGAAAAUUGAAAGAUGGUUUCGGCUAUCACUUACAGAUGGGCCCGCGGUGCAUUAGCUAGUUGGUGAGGUAACGGCUCACCAAGGCAACGAUGCAUAGCCGACCUGAGAGGGUGAUCGGCCACACUGGGACUGAGACACGGCCCAGACUCCUACGGGAGGCAGCAGUAGGGAAUCUUCCGCAAUGGACGAAAGUCUGACGGAGCAACGCCGCGUGAGUGAUGAAGGCUUUCGGGUCGUAAAACUCUGUUGUUAGGGAAAAACAA